GUGGGGAAUAUUCCGCAAUGGACGAAAGUCUGACGGAGCAACGCCGCGUGAGUGAUGAAGGUUUUCGGACUGUAAAGCUCUGUUGUUUAGGACGAAAGUGCCUGUUGCAAAUAGUUACAGGUAUUGACGGUACUGAACGAGGAAGCCACGGCUAACUACGUGCCAGCAGCCGCGGUAAUACGUAGGUGGCAAGCGUUGUCCGGAAUUAUUGGGCGUAAAGAGCAUGUAGGCGGGAAUCUAAGUCUGUUGUGAAAAUGCGGGGCUCAACCCCGUAUUGCGAUGGAAACUGGGUUUCUUGAGUGCAGGAGAGGAAAGGGGAAUUCCCAGUGUAGCGGUGAAAUGCGUAGAUAUUGGGAGGAACACCAGUGGUGAAGGCGCCUUUCUGGACUGUGUCUGACGCUGAGAUGCGAAAGCCAGGGUAGCGAACGGGAUUAGAUACCCUAGUAGUCC
Molecule: ribosomal RNA, 450 nt
Filed under: uncultured bacterium
Lineage: Bacteria
Description: partial 16S ribosomal RNA
Rfam family: Bacterial small subunit ribosomal RNA
Source: RNAcentral